AUGCAACAACCCUCAAACUCACUAGAUAUGAAUAUCCUAGACCUUGGCCUAUUCCCUUCCCUACAUUCCAUGUUUGAUAUGCUGGUGUCUAACAGUUUAGAUGAGCUAAUGAACAAUGUGCAACAUGAAUAUGAUGCAUAUGAUGCCGAUAAGAUAAACAAAAUUUUCCUAACACUACAAAGUUUCUUAAUUGAGGUCAUGAAGAGAGGUGGAGACAGUGACUACAAGAUCCCUCACAUGUACAAGGAUGGCCUAGAACGAGCAGGAAAUCUUCCUAAUGUUUUAGACUCUGAUCACGAACUAUAUGAGAGUGUCAUGCAUGCCUUAGCCGACUAG
This 336-nucleotide ribosomal RNA is filed under the name Triticum aestivum (bread wheat). RNAcentral's name for it is "partial small subunit ribosomal RNA". The record is from RNAcentral. Lineage: Eukaryota; Viridiplantae; Streptophyta; Magnoliopsida; Poales; Poaceae.